GUUUCACGUGUGUCCUAUUGGGGCGUGCAGGCUAGUUUGGGUGAAUCUACGUAGGUUGUCAGGUGUAAUGUAGGUGGUAUUAUGUUUGUCUAGAUACCAAGUUUUGUUUACAAGACGGCCGUCUGAGGGGGUAGGUCCUAGGAUGUGUCACGGGGUGGUGCGGUGCUAGGAGGUGCUAGUUGCGGCGGUAGUGCGGUGCUUGGAGCGGAGCCGAUCGGCGGGGCAGCGGAUUCGGGGACCACAGGCGCUGCAGGAGCUGGGUGGAACGAAGGGAUGGAGAGGAGCGGGGCGGCAGGAGCGGUGCGGCGGGAGCGGGACAGGCGCUGCAGGAGCUGGGCCACCUGUAGGAGUUGGGCCGCGCGAUGGGAUGGACGCCACAGUAGUGGGGCACACCCGUCGUCGUAGAGCUGGAAUAUAGUACUUGUUUAACUCAACUGCUUCCCAAUUUAUUCACAAAGUGUUCACCUUGGUAACUUUUCUGUUAUACAGUAGGAGAGUCGCAUCACCCUAUGCAUGAGGGUAAGUCUUGGACUGUUUAUUGUCGUUAAGUCCAUUUAUGUAUAUAGUGGAUGAGAAUGGAUGAAACUAGAACAUUUAGAUCUUAUACGGUAACAGAGUGUCCAGUUUUUGGUCUAGGUUUUCUCGACUUCUCUGUCUCCCUUUCCUUCUCCAUACGUGAUUUGUCCCUACGUUAUAAUUUCUUUUCUGUCCUCCGUUCCCUAGCAUUCUUUCGAUGCCGACGAUAAGAUUUACCUUAGUUGUGAGGUAGAUUCGGUGUACCCCGGUACAGCGGACCAAUGAGGUAAAAGAGACAAACAUUAUUAUGUAAAGUACUUAGUGUUCAUUUAAGUACAAUUAAUUCACAAGAAAAACUGUCCAAAACUGUGAAACCUCUACGGGUCAUUCGUCAGACGAUAGUGGGUUGUUACUGUGUGUGGUCGACGCCUUCCAGUACAAAAGAGGAUGUAGGUUGGUAUUAUAGCCGCAAACACACAGUUGUUGAUUGUAACACGUAUGUUAAUACUACGUCCGUAUGGACAAGUACACUAUUACUCACUAGUCUGAGGUGGAGUACCAGGUUUAAGUAAUUCUUGUGGUCUAUGGCGGCAAAGAUUGUUCCUUUUACAGUUAUUAUAGCUGAGACGGUAACCCAGGAGGGUUGACUGAUACAAUGGUGGCGGUGAAGUUAGGAUGUCUCCGUCGUCAAGUAUACCAUUAGUUCACAGCGAGUAUAAUUGAUGGUAUGUCUCAUUUUUGUUAACAACGAGUACAACAGAACAUGGUUUAAUUGUGAAUAACAUAUCUUCGUUUUGUUCGUGAAUUCCCCGCCUUCCCUUUACGGGCGAUACUCGUUGUAUUCGUUCAGUAUAACGUUUCGGAUGCACUGUUUGUCGCAGCUUGGUUUAGCAGUUGUCAUCAGGAACGAUGACGUCUUGUUUUAGUUAGGCUAUAUCCACUACGGUUGAUGUACCUUGUGACAUAUAGGUUAGAAAGUAAAGGAUUGACUGUCUGUGAGUUACAAAGAAAUCGACUACUUCUAACACUAACCGAUGUGUGUUUACUAUACAUGGUCUCUGUUCUGAAACCUUCCUCCUACGACGGUCUGUUGUAUGAGUGACGCGGCAGUACACCCGUGUUAGGGCAGCUGUUUAUAUUACCACUAAAUUAACUGAUGACGAACCAAGUAUGGAAAGUAAGUAUCGAGUAUGAACGGGUAAAACGGACUUAUACGACGGUCCUUUACUGGUGCUUCUACUACGUAUACCUUAUGACCUCGGGCUACCGUUGUGUUUGUUGUAACUACCAAGUGUAAUUACGUAUAUACCAAGAAACAAAUUAAAUGCUCUAGAAUAUGUAAUAAUGUUUGAUUAUAAACAGAUGAUAUCUGACGAACCUUCUGCCUUUGGAACAUCUUCGACUUAUGGAACUCGUACUACUUCUUCGAUCCUACAAGAGGGUGGUUCCAUACUUGGUUUAAGACAAUCACAGUAAAAACGUAUAGUUUUCUACGGACUUAUAAGUUUAAGACAAGGUCCACAACUUAAACUUAGGAUGGCUCAACUUGCUACAGUGUGACUACCUUGUUUGUGUUUACUAGGAGUACUAUCCCAAAUGUAAUUGGAAGGGUCUUUAGUGGUGCAGGAAUCCUUUCAAUCCCUGACGGAGGUGACACCUCGUAACGCCAAAGUUAUGCUCCCUGGACGUAAAACAACGUCUUUCCCCUUUCAUCCAAAUAAAUGUGGGCUCCAAGGCCUGCUCAACUUUGCCAACAAGUGUUCAGUUACACUACUGCUACGAUUUAUAAAAGCUCUGUUAUAUGCUAUGAAGUUGAGAGUGAAGAGUAAGUGUUCAGAACCUCAGUGGGAACUAGCAGCUCAUUCGUGACGCCGUGCUUGGCCGCAUAUAUGGAAGGCACGUACACCCCCCAACAUGGUGCGAGAACUACUAGACCACGGCCGAUUAUUACCGGGAUCCGUAAACGUCGAGAUAUAAAUACUAUGUCUAGUAUUGAACCACGUGUCCCGAUUCUCCAGAGGUCUAGAUUUAUAUCUAGAGUAUGCCUUUUAAGACGAUUAUGAUCUCGGAUUUGGAGUACGCGUCCGAAAGUUCUCGGAACCCAGACAAGGCUUAGAUCUACUCAUGUUCUAGAGUGAUUUGUGUCUAUAGUUCAACCUAGUUGCAUGCAUGUUACGGGGUUGCUGAAGAGUCCACCGUCGUUAUACACAACUCCCCUCGGUGGGUGUUUUAACAAAACUGUCCUCACAACAGCACGUACCGUUUUUUCCUCUGGCUGGGGACAUAUAAUCUCGGAUGAUACCCACGAUACUGGGUAACAGUAUAGGUAACAAAAAGGGUGCACCCCUCUCACCAACCUUAGCGACCUACGGCAUACAAGUCCGGGGACUAAUGUGGUGGGUUCUAGGUCGUGUAUUAAGACCUGGCGUUCUUUUGGCCCGGAGAGUUGAUGUAUGUCCAUAAUACAAGUAAUGAUUACACAAUAGAUGAAUGAUAGAAAUUCUUAUAUUUUUGUCAACAGAAGCAAGUGGAGAGUUCGUCUACCUUUGAACCAAUUACCUUCCCUUGUUAAACCCUUGAAACACGGUCGACUUCUGGCUCAUUGACUAAAUGUAUGUACAUACUACAAGUAAUAAUUAAACAAUAAUAGAUGAAUGGUAUAAACACUUAUUUUUGAAUACAGAACCAGCUGGAUAGUUUAUCUACUAUUAAACUAAUUACUUUCCCUUGUUCAACCGUUGAAACACGGUCUACUUCUGGUACGGUGACCACAUGUACGUCCAUAGUCAGCAGGAACGAAUAAGAAUUCGUUUAGAAUACAACAGUUUGUAAUACUCAGGUCGGUAAUAUGACGAUAAAUAGAAGCUAUAACAUCUACUAUUACUCCUAUUGGUUCUACUCCUAGAACCACUGUUACUCCACUUACGUUGUGUUAGGUCCUUUAAACAAUCACGCUCCCUCAUGAUGACGAAGUUCGAUGUCCGGUCCUUCUUCGAAAAAUUGUAGUAGAACAAGCCACCCGCGGAAAAGGUUGUCACCCGACAACUGUACAUAUAGUUCUAACUCUGAUACUCCGACCUGACCAUGAGUUUCGGUCUUUUAGUUUUCCAAUAUACUCCGACCUACGUAUAUUUUUCUAUAAGAGAGACAAUAUUAUAAUAUGAUGGUGCACAAAGUCGAUGGCUCGCUACUGCUUAGUUCACUUUAUAACUUGUUAUUACUUCACCUCCUUUCAUUAACGUGCCUCUCGAGUCUUAUAUGUGGAUAAGAACUACUUUUGUAUCGUUUGUCUCUCCGGUUUAUAAGACUUGUAUGUGUUCACCGCUGGGAAAAGGUUGAUAAAGAAGGUUUUAGUAAGAUUAAUAUAAUAUAGGAUGUAUACCCAUUAAGAAAAUUAUAACAGGAGUCUUUAAUUGGGUGUUGCUUUGUUCAGUUGUUUACCACCAUUGACUCCUGCUCCUUAACCGUGUUUGUGGGCCGUGCCUUCCCGAAGUUUGAUAUCUCCUGUUCGAUUGUUACGGGUACGUAUAUUUGUUUGUAUAUGCUGCCGUAUUGUUCGGAUUCUAUCGUGCUCUGAUACAACAAAGAGGUGUUCUAAUACGGACGUGACCGCUACUAACCAGGCAAUAUGUUUUAUAGUAUAGGCUUUGGUCGUUUCUUUCUUUAAAUCACUCGUAGCCGCUGCGUAAAGACUUUUUUUCUGUAAAUGAUAGAGAAGAUUGAGGGUCUCUUACCCAACCGCUGCUUCAUUCAUAUAAUAAUAAUAAUAAUAAUAGCGUAAUC
RNAcentral lists this ribosomal RNA (4299 nucleotides) under Triticum aestivum (bread wheat). Its description in RNAcentral is "partial small subunit ribosomal RNA". The record is from RNAcentral. Lineage: Eukaryota; Viridiplantae; Streptophyta; Magnoliopsida; Poales; Poaceae.